Molecule: ribosomal RNA, 577 nt
Filed under: uncultured bacterium
Lineage: Bacteria
Description: bacterial SSU rRNA
Rfam family: Bacterial small subunit ribosomal RNA
Source: RNAcentral
ACGGGUGAGUAACACGUAGGCAACCUGCCCACCAGACGGGGAUAACGACCGGAAACGGUAGCUAAUACCGGAUAGAUCCUGUCGCCGCAUGGCGAGAGGAAGAAAGGCGGCUUGGGCUGUCGUUGGUGGAAGGGCCUGCGGCGCAUUAGCUAGUUGGUAGAGUAACGGCCUACCAGGGCGACGAUGCGUAGCCGACCUGAGAGGGUGAACGGCCACACUGGGACUGAGACACGGCCCAGACUCCUACGGGAGGCAGCAGUAGGGAAUCUUCCGCAAUGGGCGCAAGCCUGACGGUGCAACGCCGCGUGAGUGAAGAAGGUUUUCGGAUCGUAAAGCUCUGUUGCCAGGGAAGAACGACUUUUGGAGGAACUGCCAGAAGAGUGACGGUACCUGAGAAGAAAGCCCCGGCUAACUACGUGCCAGCAGCCGCGGUAAUACGUAGGGGGCAAGCGUUGUCCGGAAUUAUUGGGCGUAAAGCGCGCGCAGGCGGCCGUUUAAGUCCGGUGUAUAAGCCCGGGGCUCAACCCCGGAUCGCACGGGAUACUGGAGGGCUUGAGAACAGCAGAGGAGAGUGGAA